This 62-nucleotide transfer RNA is filed under the name Nigidius sp. NIG01. Its description in RNAcentral is "tRNA-Tyr". The record is from RNAcentral. Lineage: Eukaryota; Metazoa; Arthropoda; Insecta; Coleoptera; Lucanidae.
AGUAAUGUGACCGAAAUAGGUGAUAAACUGUAAAUUUAUUUAUGAAUUAAUAUUCCUUUACU